RNAcentral lists this ribosomal RNA (433 nucleotides) under uncultured bacterium. RNAcentral's name for it is "partial 16S ribosomal RNA". It matches the Rfam family "Bacterial small subunit ribosomal RNA", at positions 29 to 507 of the family's 1533-position model. The record is from RNAcentral.
AACGAACGCUGGCGGCAGGCUUAACACAUGCAAGUCGAACGGAUCCUUCGGGAUUAGUGGCAGACGGGUGAGUAACGCGUGGGAACGUACCCUUUGCUACGGAAUAACUCAGGGAAACCUGAGCUAAUACCGUAUGCGCCCUACGGGGGAAAGAUUUAUCGGCAAAGGAUCGGCCCGCGUUGGAUUAGCUAGUUGGUGGGGUAAUGGCCUACCAAGGCGACGAUCCAUAGCUGGUCUGAGAGGAUGAUCAGCCACACUGGGACUGAGACACGGCCCAGACUCCUACGGGAGGCAGCAGUGGGGAAUAUUGGACAAUGGGCGCAAGCCUGAUCCAGCCAUGCCGCGUGAGUGAUGAAGGUCUUAGGAUUGUAAAGCUCUUUCACCGGUGAAGAUAAUGACGGUAGCCGGAGAAGAAGCCCCGGCUAACUUCGUG